Molecule: long non-coding RNA, 231 nt
Filed under: Elaeis guineensis (African oil palm)
Lineage: Eukaryota; Viridiplantae; Streptophyta; Magnoliopsida; Arecales; Arecaceae
Description: long non-coding RNA (EGUI_LNC023335)
Source: RNAcentral
UAUGUUGCUGCAUCGCUCAUAACCCGACAUAUCUAUCGGGAGGCAAAUAUUGCGAUUGAUUGGAUUGCUACAUUCAUGGCGGAGCACUCGAGAGAUUGAAUUUAAAGACAGAAUGAUGUUUGUCUGUCAGUCUUGCGGGAUCUUCCAUAUCUCAAUCUUAUGGGCUGCUCUCGCAUCAAAAUGGUGUGACUGCCUGUUUGUACAAAAAAAAAAGCAUGCCAGUGGGGAAAA